AUACGUAGGGUGCAAGCGUUAAUCGGAAUUACUGGGCGUAAAGCGUGCGCAGGCGGUUAUAUAAGACAGAUGUGAAAUCCCCGGGCUCAACCUGGGAACUGCAUUAGUGACUGUAUAGCUAGAGUGCGGCAGAGGGGGAUGGAAUUCCGCGUGUAGCAGUGAAAUGCGUAGAUAUGCGGAGGAACACCGAUGGCGAAGGCAAUCCCCUGGGCCUGCACUGACGCUCAUGCACGAAAGCGUGGGGAGCAAACAGGAUUAGAUACCCUGGUAGUCCACGCCCUAAACGAUGUCAACUGGUUGUUGGGUCUUCACUGACUCAGUAACGAAGCUAACGCGUGAAGUUGACCGCCUGGGGAGUACGGCCGCAAGGUUAA
This 374-nucleotide ribosomal RNA is filed under the name uncultured bacterium. RNAcentral describes it as "bacterial SSU rRNA". It matches the Rfam family "Bacterial small subunit ribosomal RNA", at positions 523 to 897 of the family's 1533-position model. The record is from RNAcentral.